CGGGGUGUGGCGCAGCUUGGUAGCGCAUCCGCUUUGGGAGCGGAGGGUCGCAGGUUCAAAUCCUGUCACCCCGACCA
Molecule: transfer RNA, 77 nt
Filed under: Nocardia asteroides
Lineage: Bacteria; Bacillati; Actinomycetota; Actinomycetes; Mycobacteriales; Nocardiaceae
Also listed under: 27 other names
Description: tRNA-Pro
Rfam family: tRNA
About the family: Transfer RNA (tRNA) molecules are approximately 80 nucleotides in length. Their secondary structure includes four short double-helical elements and three loops (D, anti-codon, and T loops).
Source: RNAcentral